GUAGGGAAUAUUGGGCAAUGGAUGGAAGUCUGACCCAGCCAUGCCGCGUGCCGGACGAAGGCCCUCUGGGUUGUAAACGGCUUUUGACAGGGAAGAAGAGUUACCAUGCGUGGUAAUGUGACGGUACCUGUUGAAUAAGCACCGGCUAACUCCGUGCCAGCAGCCGCGGUAAUACGGAGGGUGCGAGCGUUGUCCGGAUUUAUUGGGUUUAAAGGGUGCGUAGGCGGGGUUUUAAGUCAGUGGUGAAAAGCAGCUGCUCAACAGUUGUCGUGCCAUUGAAACUGAGACUCUUGAAUUGAUUGGAGGCUGCCGGAACGGAUGGUGUAGCGGUGAAAUGCAUAGAUAUCAUCCAGAACACCUAUUGCGAAGGCAGGUGGCUACGAUCAGAUUGACGCUGAUGCACGAAAGCGUGGGGAGCAAACAGGAUUAGAUACCCUGGUAGUCC
RNAcentral lists this ribosomal RNA (445 nucleotides) under uncultured bacterium. RNAcentral's name for it is "partial 16S ribosomal RNA". It matches the Rfam family "Bacterial small subunit ribosomal RNA", at positions 354 to 796 of the family's 1533-position model. The record is from RNAcentral.